This 271-nucleotide ribosomal RNA is filed under the name uncultured bacterium. RNAcentral's name for it is "partial 16S ribosomal RNA". The record is from RNAcentral.
CUGCUGCCUCCCGUAGGAGUCUGGUCCGUGUCUCAGUACCAGUGUGGGGGACCUUCCUCUCAGAACCCCUAGACAUCGUCGCCUUGGUGGGCCGUUACCCCGCCAACAAGCUAAUGUCACGCAUGCCCAUCCGUCUCCGGAGUUGCCUCCUUUGGCCGAAAGAAGAUGCCUCCCCUCGGCCACAUGCGGUAUUAGGCCGGAUUUCUCCGGGUUAUCCCGCUGAAACCGGGCAGGUUGCAUACGCGUUACUCACCCGUGCGCCGGUCGCCGG